This 550-nucleotide ribosomal RNA is filed under the name uncultured Geobacteraceae bacterium. RNAcentral describes it as "bacterial SSU rRNA". It matches the Rfam family "Bacterial small subunit ribosomal RNA", at positions 1 to 526 of the family's 1533-position model. Lineage: Bacteria; Pseudomonadati; Thermodesulfobacteriota; Desulfuromonadia; Geobacterales; Geobacteraceae. The record is from RNAcentral.
RKKCGCCCUUAGAGUUUGAUCCUGGCUCAGAACGAACGCUGGCGGCGUGCUUAACACAUGCAAGUCGAACGUGAUCCGGAGCUUGCUCCGGUGAAAGUGGCGCACGGGUGAGUAACGCGUGGAUAACCUGCCCUGGUGUCUGGGAUAACAUCUCGAAAGGGGUGCUAAUACCGGAUAAGCCUACGGGAUCUUCGGAUUCUGCAGGAAAAGGAGGCCUCUAUUUAUAAGCUUCCGUAUCAUGAUGGGUCCGCGUACCAUUARCUAGUUGGKGGGGUAAUGGCCUACCAAGGCGACGAUGGUUAGCUGGUCUGAGAGGAUGAUCAGCCACACUGGAACUGAGACACGGUCCAGACUCCUACGGGAGGCAGCAGUGGGGAAUUUUGCGCAAUGGGGGAAACCCUGACGCAGCAACGCCGCGUGAGUGAUGAAGGCUUUCGGGUCGUAAAGCUCUGUCAGAGGGGAAGAAAUGAAACGUGCUAAUAUCACGUUUUCUUGACGGUACCCUCAAAGGAAGCACCGGCUAACUCCGUGCCAGCAGCCGCGGUAAUAC